This 22-nucleotide microRNA is filed under the name Taeniopygia guttata (zebra finch). RNAcentral describes it as "tgu-miR-146b-3p". Its record names the gene tgu-miR-146b-3p. The record is from miRBase by way of RNAcentral. Lineage: Eukaryota; Metazoa; Chordata; Aves; Passeriformes; Estrildidae.
UGCCCUAUGGAUUCAGUUCUGC